Molecule: unclassified non-coding RNA, 1215 nt
Filed under: Hevea brasiliensis (rubber tree)
Lineage: Eukaryota; Viridiplantae; Streptophyta; Magnoliopsida; Malpighiales; Euphorbiaceae
Source: RNAcentral
CAUUAGCUUCAAUGCCUAUCCUUCUGCAAGAAGAUUUAACAUCAUAUAUAAUAAUGGAAAGCCUAAGAUAAUGAUCAGAUGCAUUACCACAUCCUGAAAGCAAAAGGAGAAAAAAGAAAAAAAAGCAGGAACACCAAGUUCAUUGGCUUUACAAUUAAGCUUGUGAGGAUAUAGAUAUCAGGGAAAGAAAACUCAACAUAUGGACUAUGAAUAAUCGCACAAUGUUGCUAAUGUUCCUAAGAAUGUGUCCGCAUCCUCAGUACAUCUGUUAUCCAAAUCUCAUGGAAAUUUCUAAAAUAUAAUAAGGUCAUGGAUUCCUUUCAUCUUCUUUCCCAGAACUUAGUAGUUUCUCUUUUUAAAGAGAUUGUGAGCCCAAACACAAUAAAUUGCCAAGCUCUUGUUGAGAUUUUACAGCAUAAAGUGGACACUUCUAUUUCCAAAUUGCAUGGUCUUCUUUUCAUAACAAAGUACAAAGACCAGGAAGCAUGUCUAUGAUUGAGAAGCUAGAGGUUGCAAAAGAAUUUGUCUAAAGGCUGAAAGCGUUAAGGACCUCUUCUGCAUUUGCCAAUUCAUUCCACAUCCACCAUAUCUAUUCCUAGCUCAGUAGUGAAGAUGUUUCAGAAUCCUUUGGGGUUGUGGAUGGUACAAAUUAAAGUAUCAUUUGUUGAAGUGGGAUCAUAUGCUUCCUAAAUGCAAGGGAAGUUAUGAAUCAAAUUUCUGGCACCCUCAAUAGAAUUCUACUAGGUAUUUCUUUUAAGGUAAAUUAUGGUUUUCUAUUUAUUUUUGGCAUGACUUUUAGCAGAGAAUCCUCAAAAAUCAACUCAGUAUGUUUUUCUUGUCAUUUCAAUGGGAUGCAUUAGUGAGUUUAAUUUUUAUUUGAGUGGUAAUCAAGAUUCAAAACCUGGAAUUUAGGAGGGAUAACAAGACUGGGAUUAGAUGUUAUAUUAAACAUGGUGAAUGUUGUUGAUAGAUCCCCAGUAAAUAUGGGGGUAUGGGGUUGGGAGAUCAGAUAAGAUAGAUGAUGACCCCAGUUUAAGGUGGACAUAAAAUCUUCUGUAGUAGUGGUGACGUGUAAGGACACCUGUUCAAAAAGCUAUUUGCAAUAAAUAAGUCCCCUCUUAAUUAUCUCUUUUGUUGGGAAUUAUCAACCAAAAGAAACUUAACAACUGAAAAUUGGCUGAGAAAAUGAAACAAAAUGUGUGUGCAAAGGGGAGG